This 509-nucleotide ribosomal RNA is filed under the name Streptomyces sp. SWL-9. Its description in RNAcentral is "bacterial SSU rRNA". It matches the Rfam family "Bacterial small subunit ribosomal RNA", at positions 88 to 611 of the family's 1533-position model. The record is from RNAcentral. Lineage: Bacteria; Bacillati; Actinomycetota; Actinomycetes; Kitasatosporales; Streptomycetaceae.
GGUGGAUGUGGCGAACGGGUGAGUAACACGUGGGCAAUCUGCCCUUCACUCUGGGACAAGCCCUGGAAACGGGGUCUAAUACCGGAUACCACUCCUGCCUGCAUGGGCGGGGGUUGAAAGCUCCGGCGGUGAAGGAUGAGCCCGCGGCCUAUCAGCUUGUUGGUGGGGUAAUGGCCCACCAAGGCGACGACGGGUAGCCGGCCUGAGAGGGCGACCGGCCACACUGGGACUGAGACACGGCCCAGACUCCUACGGGAGGCAGCAGUGGGGAAUAUUGCACAAUGGGCGAAAGCCUGAUGCAGCGACGCCGCGUGAGGGAUGACGGCCUUCGGGUUGUAAACCUCUUUCAGCAGGGAAGAAGCGAAAGUGACGGUACCUGCAGAAGAAGCGCCGGCUAACUACGUGCCAGCAGCCGCGGUAAUACGUAGGGCGCAAGCGUUGUCCGGAAUUAUUGGGCGUAAAGAGCUCGUAGGCGGCUUGUCACGUCNNAUGUGAAAGCCCGANGCUUA